Molecule: ribosomal RNA, 212 nt
Filed under: uncultured prokaryote
Description: partial 16S ribosomal RNA
Rfam family: Bacterial small subunit ribosomal RNA
Source: RNAcentral
GACGAACCGUGCGAACGUUGCUCGGAAUCACUGGGCUUAAAGGGCGCGUAGGCGGGUCUUCAAGUCCGGGGUGAAAGCCCACGGCUCAACCGUGGAAGCGCCUUGGAUACUGGAGGUCUCGAGGGAGGUAGGGGCGUGCGGAACUUCCGGUGGAGCGGUGAAAUGCGUAGAUAUCUGGAGGAACACCGGUGGCGAAGGCGGCAUCCUGGACC